Molecule: long non-coding RNA, 2573 nt
Organism: Populus trichocarpa (black cottonwood)
Lineage: Eukaryota; Viridiplantae; Streptophyta; Magnoliopsida; Malpighiales; Salicaceae
Exons: 2
Source: RefSeq, a predicted model, not a curated record
UAAAGAAAAUAGUGGGGUUGCAAGCAACUGGAGGAAGUAGCUAGAGAUUUAACUCCUCUAUAAGUAUUCCUCUCUACUUGUAUAUAUCCUCCCAUAUCCUUCCUUAUCUAUGAAACCUUCAACCAGAAGAAAGAUGAAGAGGCAACUUCAAGCCCUAAACAAGUGCAUCGCCGCGAGCGGAUAGACCUAAUCAUGCACCACUAGUAGUUGAAGCUGCCAGCAUGAUCUGAACUUUCCUUAAUUUUCCUAUACGGGAAAGACUAGAUCAUGUGGUAGUUUCAUCUAUUGAUGGUAGCAUGGGAAACCCUAAUCAGCUUAAACCCUAUUUUCAUCCUCUGAUCUUUUUCUUCAGACCCCCCAUUAGGAAUCUGUCUUGGAAAGAACACUAGAUAAGUAUCUGAAGUUGUUUAUGGACUAUGUCUGUGUGUUCUCCUUUCCUACUAGCGAGAUGUGAUCUCUUAGGGUUGUAACCUGUAGGAGACAAUUUUUUUGUCUUAGCUUGGUUGGUGCUUUUGAGAUCUAUCUUCUUGUGCCUUGAAGAGAGUGUGCUUUUAUAUUCCUCCUGUACGGUCAUGUCAAUUUCUGAUACUGUGUGUGGGAGGCGUGGGAAUAUGGGAGUGGAGGUCCGGGGUGGGUUUUGUUCAUGAGUCAAUAAAAUUGUAAUCAUGAAGAUGGCUAAGUAAUGACUGCAAAUGCAUGAAACAAUGGACCAGUCCAUAUAAUGAUGAACCAACAUGACAUAAAUCUACGCAACUGGGUCUGAAUAGGGCCUCAGAUCUGGUAGAGGACAAGACAGCUUUUCUCCUCCUUGUCAUCUUCGUUUACAACUGAGGAAAUUCAAGCACCACAGGUGAGAUCAUACAUAUUUCUUUUAUUGAUGAUGAAGAAACAAACAGAUUAGUCUUGGACCUUGUAAGCACACCCCCGAGUGGAACCUCACAGCUCCAGGGAUCUCACUCUAGAAUGCAAUAAAACCCAUUUCUGGAUUCUCAAAAUCUCUCAGACAACCAUAUUUGUGGAAUUUUUUAAGGACAUGAAAAAAAAAUAAGUGUAGAACCAGUUUUAUUUCUCAGUAUAGAUGCAGGAUGGAUAUUGUCAAUUUGUCAUGGAUCUCGAAUUUUAAUAUAAACUUUAUAUCAAAUAUGGUUACACCAAGUGAUUAAUUAAAAAAAAAAACUAUACCAAGCCAUUAAUUUUAUGUUCUAUUCUUGAUUGCAAUCAUUAUAUUAACAUCUAAUUAACCGACCUUCAUCAAAUAUUUCAACUAGAUGACGAAUUCAAAUAAAUUAAGGUCCAAGUAGAAGGAAAGCAUAUAACAAAUGGUUCAUCAGUCCAUAUUUUCUCUACGUGUUUCCAUUUUUCUUCAGAGAAACAACAAUUAUAUAUUGUGAUAUUGUCUCCCAAUUCGUUGUUCUUGACUAAUAUUAAGCAUUUCUUUCUUGCUUUCUAUCCUUUCUUUUGUUGGGAUGAAGUAUAAGAUAUUUGGAAGAAGCUAGUAUGGUCAAUUUUCUACGCCAUGAACGUCAUGGCACUGCCUAAUUAAUAUGUGGAGUCAUAGAAUUUCUUCCUCCAAUUUGGAUAUCUCUAUCAUUAUAUUAGAAGGUGCAUGCCUGUCUGGUGAGCUAGAGUCGUUGUUGUAGUAAUUCAAGGGAAGAAUAUAAUUUUUUCUGACUUGAGUACUGUCAGCUCGUAAUUACAUACUGACUUUUAUUUUUUCUGUGAUCCAUGCUUCAUUUGUUUAACAACAACUCUGUUAACUAGUAUCUCAAAACUAAAUUAAUAGUUGAGAAAUCUAUUAAAAGACUUAACUAAAUGGCUUAAACAUUGGAUUAAGCGAUCAUUUAAUUAUCUCUAGCACUGCAGCUUUCAUAUAAAAUAAGAAUGGUGAAACCAUGUAUAUAGAAGGAGGGAACCUUCCUGUGAGUGGCACUCCAUCAAUGUUUAAGACAAUCUUGUGUUUCUCAUUACUUGGGUUGUUGUAAGAUGUCAUGUUUUGUCUCUGUUUGGAAACUCGAUUUGGCUCGGCUCCAUAAAAGCUUUAUAAGAUUCCCAAAAGCCACCCACAUAGAAGAAACGUCACCAAUAUGCCUCUCUUCACGGGUUUUCUUUUUGUCUUCAUCUUACUUCAGGUACAGGAACACAUGGUUUUUGGGUUCCUUGAUAGGGUUUGUUGCAAGCCAUUAAUGGGACUUUCACAUGAAGUCAACUAACCCUAGCAGGCAUCUUCUCGACGCUGGCAUCGUUUGGUCAAUUACUCAAGUGGGUGACAGGCACAUGGGUUAGAGUAGGAUGUGACAUCUUAUGCCCAGUACAAACCUUCUUCAUAGGCAGUUAUUUCAAAUUUCAAGGAUUUGAACACUUGAGGGUAGGAAUAUUAAAGUCUAGGUUGAAAGAUAUACAGAUAGGUUUUCUUUAGUUUUUAAAGAUUGACGUGAGCCUUCUCUCUGUGUCCCUGUUUAGUACCAAUAAUAAUGUUUUAGCAUCCAGCAGCCUAUUGAGGUGGGUGAUCACUGUUUUCUUAAAAGAAUGGCUUUGAAAAAUGCAAGAUCUUAGACAUGAAGCUUGUGGGUUUC